RNAcentral lists this ribosomal RNA (253 nucleotides) under uncultured bacterium. RNAcentral's name for it is "partial 16S ribosomal RNA". It matches the Rfam family "Bacterial small subunit ribosomal RNA", at positions 524 to 776 of the family's 1533-position model. The record is from RNAcentral.
UACGAAGGGGGCGAGCGUUGUUCGGAUUUACUGGGCGUAAAGGGCGCGUAGGCGGCGCGAGAAGUCGAGUGUGAAAGCCCCGGGCUCAACCUGGGAAUUGCGCUCGAUACUCUUGUGCUUGAGUUCGGGAGAGGAGCGUGGAAUUCCCAGUGUAGAGGUGAAAUUCGUAGAUAUUGGGAAGAACACCGGUGGCGAAGGCGGCGCUCUGGACCGAGACUGACGCUGAGGCGCGAAAGCUAGGGGAGCAAACGGG